AGUGAACGCUGGCGGUAGGCCUAACACAUGCAAGUCGAACGGCAGCACAGUAAGAGCUUGCUCUUACGGGUGGCGAGUGGCGGACGGGUGAGGAAUACAUCGGAAUCUACUUUUUCGUGGGGGAUAACGUAGGGAAACUUACGCUCAUACCGCAUACGACCUACGGGUGAAAGCAGGGGAUCUUCGGACCUUGCGCGAUUGAAUGAGCCGAUGUCGGAUUAGCUAGUUGGCGGGGUAAAGGCCAACCAAGGCGACGAUCCGUAGCUGGUCUGCGAGGAUGAGCAGCCACACUGGAACUGAGACACGGUCCAGACUCCGACGGGAGGCAGCAGUGGGGAAUAUUGGACAAUGGGCGCAAGCCUGAUCCAGCCAUACCGCGGGGGUGUAGAAGGCGUUCGGGUUGUAAAGCCCUUUUGUUGGGAAAGAAAAGCAGCAGGUUAAUACCCCGCUGUUCUGACGGUACCCAAAGAAUAAGCACCGGCUAACUUCGCG
This 492-nucleotide ribosomal RNA is filed under the name uncultured bacterium. Its description in RNAcentral is "partial 16S ribosomal RNA". It matches the Rfam family "Bacterial small subunit ribosomal RNA", at positions 29 to 507 of the family's 1533-position model. The record is from RNAcentral.